This 121-nucleotide transfer RNA is filed under the name Brevibacterium sp. SMBL_HHYL_HB1. RNAcentral describes it as "tRNA-OTHER". The record is from RNAcentral. Lineage: Bacteria; Bacillati; Actinomycetota; Actinomycetes; Micrococcales; Brevibacteriaceae.
CGGGGUGUGAGCGGAUGUCACCGGACUGUCAGUGCCUGCAAUGCGGAUCACUCGCACCGACGACAGCCUCCGCUGGCGGACCCAGGCCAGAGGGUCGCAGGUUCAAAUCCUGUCAUCCCGA